Molecule: long non-coding RNA, 419 nt
Filed under: Ananas comosus (pineapple)
Lineage: Eukaryota; Viridiplantae; Streptophyta; Magnoliopsida; Poales; Bromeliaceae
Description: long non-coding RNA (ACOM_LNC010815)
Source: RNAcentral
AGAUUUACAUCUAAUUCAAAUAGCAUUUAUUUUCCUUCCUCUUAUAUUCUAUAAUAACUAUCGACUCUCCUUAGCGCAAGCAGCAAAGGACUUAAUGAUUGAAAUCUGCUGUUUUAAGUUCGAAUUCUAAUUAAUUCAUAUUUUCAAUUAAGUUUAUUUAAAAAAAAAAUAAACGAAGCUGAUAAUGCAUACAACUAAUUAUGAAUGCAUCUCAUAUAUAUAUAUAUAGGAAUAAUUUCAUAGAUGCCCUUCUAGAAAAUUAUUAAUUUCAUCCAUACCCUUCUAAAAUUGAUAAUAUCACAAAUACCCUCCAAUAGGUUAAAAAUUAUCAUAAAUGCCCUCUAUUAGUUUAGAUCCGUUAGGUCCCAUUUGAAACGGAGUUAAAUUUUUAAAAUACCAUUUUUACCCUUUAUCUCUUA